AAAACAUUUAAAUAAUGUCCCAUAUAGUACAUUAGAUAAUAAGGUAUCGAUGAACCUAGAUUUCUGUCUUGCUCUCACUGAUAUAAUCUUUGGAAAUCAAGAAAAACUUCUUUGUAUAAAUAAUCAUUUUAACAUCACUGCUUUAGUUGCGGUAUUAUUUUCAGAGGUAAUCAGAAAUCCAGAGAUGAUAUUUAUUAACCUAAUUGCAAUGACAAUGGAUUCCUUAAAUACUUGGAAAGACUUCCGCCAGAUUAUGCCACCUUUAGCUGGGGGAACCUGGGAAAAUAAACAGGAGUGCUGUCCCAAAUUUAUGAAACGACUAAACCUAUUUUUUUCAAAAACAUUUUCUGAAACAUUUACUGAAAUAACUUCUCAUUAAUUUUCUUUCAUUAAUUUAAUUAACAAUGAAACAUGUAUCAUUAUGAUAAUGCAGUACGGUAGACAAAAUAAACAAAUUACUAUGAAUAUUACUAAACCAAACUUUAACCUGGAUUUCUAAAAAAGACAGUUGUAAACUCAAAUUAGACUUCAUAGGUCCUUUUAAUGAAAAUACUGUAUUUAAAAAAAUAAUAAUCCUAAAACAAAAUAACAUCUUUCAAGAAAGUAACUAUGUGAUUUACAUUAAUAGUUUGUAUGAUUAUGUCAACGUAAUUGUGUAUUUCUGGAAAAAUAAGGAAAAAAUACAAAAUAUAACGGACCCGAUUUAUAUAAUAUCAGGGAGUCAUAUUUCUUUAAUAGAUAGGUAUGACUUCUAUAUUAAAACUGAGCUCAGAAUUAAUGAACACACUAUCCCGUAUGCUAUUCAGGGAGGCAAACUUAAUGUAUCUGAUAUUGUAAUUAAAGGAAAACAUUUAAAUCAUGUCCCAUAUAGUACAUUAGAUAAUAAGGUAUCGAUGAACCUAGAUUUCUGUCUUGCUCUCACUGAUAUAAUCUUUGGAAAUCAAGAAAAACUUCUUUGUAUAAAUAAUAGUUUUGACAUCACUGCUUUAGUUGCGGUAUUAUUUUCAGAGGUAAUCAGAAAUCCAGGGAUGAUAUUUAUUAACCUAAUUGCAAUGACAAUGGAUUCCUUAAAUACUUGGAAAGACUUCCGCCAGAUUAUGCCACCUUUAGUUGGGGGAACCUGGGAAAAUAAACAGGAGUACUGUUCCAAAUUUAUGAAACGACUAAACCUAUUUUUUUCAAAAACAUUUUCUGAAACAUUUUCUGAAAUUAUUUGAACAUGGAAAUUCUUUGAUUAAUUGAAUUUAUUUUAAAAAGUUGUCCUUCAUGGAAGGGGCGGGUGGUGGAGGGUCCAAAUAAAACAAAAUAAAACAUCCCAAAAUGUUAUAAAAUAUCAACAAAUUCAUCUUCAUUAUCCCCCACGUUGUUCCACCUCCGCUUCUGGGAGGAGCCAGGCGGGGCCACAGAGCGGACUCCCCCAUCUCAUCCCACCAACUCUGUCAGUCCACCAGGCCCCACAAUGCAGCCUCCACACCACUGCAGUAACAGCCAUAUCUUCCCAUCACAAAGCUUCAGUACUGUCUCAAUGUGUUGAAGUACCAUCCAGGAUCCUGUGGCAACGUCAAUGUGAAACAGCAUUGACCCGUGAUCACCACCAACCAGGGCUCCACAGCGGUAUCCUUGGACACCCAGUGAAUCCAGAGAGAGCACACCAGGCAGCAUUGAGCACUUUGAUGAGAUUGGCUGUUCAGCAGGAAGAUUCAUCUGGCUACACAGAAGGGAUGAUGGCUCUGACCAAUAAAAUUCUAUUUUUGAAACUAUAUAACUGAAUAAACUAUGAUUUAACUAAAAACAUA
Non-coding RNA from Salmo salar (Atlantic salmon), 1796 nucleotides. NCBI's taxonomy places the organism in Eukaryota, Metazoa, Chordata, Actinopteri, Salmoniformes, Salmonidae. The record is from RefSeq and is a predicted model, not a curated record.